CUCAAUUUGAUAAUAGUUGAUAGUGUCAAAAUCCAGAACAUAAUAUUUUACAACAGGCAAUCCAAGCUACAAAGCAAGAGAGAGAACUGGUGAAUACUGGAGGACUGGAUAAAAGACGCACAAGCGGAGACAGAGAGACUCACUCUGCUCACAGCCCAGAGAGUGAGGACUCCAAAAAUCACUAUUCAGCUGCUGGACAAGACAGAGAUCAAACUGGAAGAACUGCUGCAGAUAAUAAAGAAGGUGGACAUUAAAAAGGAAGAAUGGGACAAGGAAGAGUUAAUUUAUUAUUCUUUUUCUGAAAAGACUUUAAAGUACCCACACCUUUCUAAAAAUGACAACUCUAUCAAAUGUAUUCUAAAAAGAAUCAACAAUAACAAUUUUAGCUCCAUAUUUUGUGAAACUGAGAGUAGUUUUCUCGAACUAAUACAGGAGGUAAAGGUAAAGAAAACAGACAAGCAGUACUGUUUUGCAGUUUUCAGAAAAGCAGAUCAAACAUCAAGCAAAAUUGGUCCCCAUUAUCCAGACUCUGAUGAUAAUCAGCAUAGUGAGGAUUUCUUAGUUAAAGAAAUACUGGAAUUAGUGAAAAAUGGUGACAUUACUAAAUACAGUGAAUUAUGGAUCUAUUCUCUAAACAGCCCCUGUAUUGGCAAACACGAAGGUCCACCCUGCAUCAUUAUUUUAAUGCUUUUAUCAGUUGUUUUGUUCAAAAAAUAUAAAAUUACAACAUGCAUCGGCUUCUCAAAACAUCAUGGAUUUGCAGGAUCCAUCUGUGAGCUUUUAGCUCCUCAUGAAACU
Molecule: long non-coding RNA, 798 nt
Organism: Colossoma macropomum (tambaqui)
Lineage: Eukaryota; Metazoa; Chordata; Actinopteri; Characiformes; Serrasalmidae
Exons: 3
Source: RefSeq, a predicted model, not a curated record